GAGUUUGAUCGUGGCUCAGGACGAACGCUGGCGGCGUGCUUAACACAUGCAAGUCGAACGGAAAGGCCCUUUCGGGGGUGCUCGAGUGGCGAACGGGUGAGUAACACGUGGGUGAUCUGCCCUGCACUUUGGAAUAAGCCUGGGAAACUGGGUCUAAUACCGGAUAGGACUACGGCCUGCAUGGGUUGUGGUGGAAAGCUUUUGCGGUGUGGGAUGGGCCCGCGGCCUAUCAGCUUGUUGGUGGGGUGAUGGCCUACCAAGGCGACGACGGGUAGCCGGCCUGAGAGGGUGUCCGGCCACACUGGGACUGAGAUACGGCCCAGACUCCUACGGGAGGCAGCAGUGGGGAAUAUUGCACAAUGGGCGCAAGCCUGAUGCAGCGACGCCGCGUGGGGGAUGACGGCCUCGGUU
Molecule: ribosomal RNA, 411 nt
Filed under: uncultured Actinomycetes bacterium
Lineage: Bacteria; Bacillati; Actinomycetota; Actinomycetes
Description: bacterial SSU rRNA
Rfam family: Bacterial small subunit ribosomal RNA
Source: RNAcentral